AGCAGCCGCGGUAAUUCCAGCUCCAAUAGCGUAUAUUAAAGUUGUUGCAGUUAAAAAGCUCGUAGUUGAAUUUCGGGAUCAAUUAAUUGGUCGUGCCUCUGGUACGUACUGAUUUUAUUGGUUUCUCCCUUCUGACGAACCAUGAUGUCAUUAAUUUGAUGUCGUGGAGAAUCAGGACUGUUACUUUGAAAAAUUAGAGUGUUUAAAGCAAGCUAACGCUCGAAUACAUUAGCAUGGAAUAAUGAAAUAGGACGUUUGAUCCUAUUUUGUUGGUUUCUAGGAUCGACGUAAUGAUUAAUAGGGAUAGUUGGGGGCAUUAGUAUUCAAUUGUCAGAGGUGAAAUUCUUGGAUUUAUUGAAGACUAACUACUGCGAAAGCAUUUGCCAAGGAUGUUUUCAUUAAUCAAGAACGAAAGUUAGGGGAUCGAAGACGAUCAGAUACCGUCGUAGUCUUAACCAUAAACUAUGCC
This 469-nucleotide ribosomal RNA is filed under the name uncultured Glomus. RNAcentral describes it as "SSU rRNA". It matches the Rfam family "Eukaryotic small subunit ribosomal RNA", at positions 569 to 1043 of the family's 1831-position model. The record is from RNAcentral. Lineage: Eukaryota; Fungi; Glomeromycota; Glomeromycetes; Glomerales; Glomeraceae.